This 1289-nucleotide ribosomal RNA is filed under the name Bacillus sp. (in: firmicutes). Its description in RNAcentral is "bacterial SSU rRNA". It matches the Rfam family "Bacterial small subunit ribosomal RNA", at positions 56 to 1387 of the family's 1533-position model. Lineage: Bacteria; Bacillati; Bacillota; Bacilli; Caryophanales; Bacillaceae. The record is from RNAcentral.
UGCAAGUCGAGCGGACAGAUGGGAGCUUGCUCCCUGAUGUUAGCGGCGGACGGGUGAGUAACACGUGGGUAACCUGCCUGUAAGACUGGGAUAACUCCGGGAAACCGGGGCUAAUACCGGAUGGUUGUUUGAACCGCAUGGUUCAGACAUAAAAGGUGGCUUCGGCUACCACUUACAGAUGGACCCGCGGCGCAUUAGCUAGUUGGUGAGGUAACGGCUCACCAAGGCGACGAUGCGUAGCCGACCUGAGAGGGUGAUCGGCCACACUGGGACUGAGACACGGCCCAGACUCCUACGGGAGGCAGCAGUAGGGAAUCUUCCGCAAUGGACGAAAGUCUGACGGAGCAACGCCGCGUGAGUGAUGAAGGUUUUCGGAUCGUAAAGCUCUGUUGUUAGGGAAGAACAAGUGCCGUUCAAAUAGGGCGGCACCUUGACGGUACCUAACCAGAAAGCCACGGCUAACUACGUGCCAGCAGCCGCGGUAAUACGUAGGUGGCAAGCGUUGUCCGGAAUUAUUGGGCGUAAAGGGCUCGCAGGCGGUUUCUUAAGUCUGAUGUGAAAGCCCCCGGCUCAACCGGGGAGGGUCAUUGGAAACUGGGGAACUUGAGUGCAGAAGAGGAGAGUGGAAUUCCACGUGUAGCGGUGAAAUGCGUAGAGAUGUGGAGGAACACCAGUGGCGAAGGCGACUCUCUGGUCUGUAACUGACGCUGAGGAGCGAAAGCGUGGGGAGCGAACAGGAUUAGAUACCCUGGUAGUCCACGCCGUAAACGAUGAGUGCUAGAGUACGGUCGCAAGACUGAAACUCAAAGGAAUUGACGGGGGCCCGCACAAGCGGUGGAGCAUGUGGGUUUAAUUCGAAGCAACGCGAAGAACCUUACCAGGUCUUGACAUCCUCUGACAAUCCUAGAGAUAGGACGUCCCCUUCGGGGGCAGAGUGACAGGUGGUGCAUGGUUGUCGUCAGCUCGUGUCGUGAGAUGUUGGGUUAAGUCCCGCAACGAGCGCAACCCUUGAUCUUAGUUGCCAGCAUUCAGUUGGGCACUCUAAGGUGACUGCCGGUGACAAACCGGAGGAAGGUGGGGAUGACGUCAAAUCAUCAUGCCCCUUAUGACCUGGGCUACACACGUGCUACAAUGGACAGAACAAAGGGCAGCGAAACCGCGAGGUUAAGCCAAUCCCACAAAUCUGUUCUCAGUUCGGAUCGCAGUCUGCAACUCGACUGCGUGAAGCUGGAAUCGCUAGUAAUCGCGGAUCAGCAUGCCGCGGUGAAUACGUUCCCGGGCCUUGUACA